CCUACGGGUGGCAGCAGUGAGGAAUAUUGGUCAAUGGGCGCGAGCCUGAACCAGCCAAGUCGCGUGAGGGAAGACGGUCCUAUGGAUUGUAAACCUCUUUUGCCGGGGAGCAAAAGACGCCACGCGUGGCGUUCCGAGAGUACCCGAAGAAAAAGCAUCGGCUAACUCCGUGCCAGCAGCCGCGGUUAUACGGAGGAUGCGAGCGUUAUCCGGUUUUAGUGGGUUAAAGGGGUGCGCAGGCGGAAGAUCAAGUCAGCGGUAAAAUUGAGGGGCUCAACCUCUUCGAGCCGUUGAAACUGGUGUUCUUGAGUGAGUGAGAAGUAUGCGGAAUGCGUGGUGUAGCGGUGAAAUGCAUAGAUAUCACGCAGAACUCCGAUUGCGAAGGCAGCAUACCGGCGCUCAACUGACGCUCAUGCACGAAAGUGUGGGUAUCGAACAGGAUUAGAUACCCGUGUAGUC
This 459-nucleotide ribosomal RNA is filed under the name uncultured bacterium. RNAcentral's name for it is "partial 16S ribosomal RNA". It matches the Rfam family "Bacterial small subunit ribosomal RNA", at positions 338 to 795 of the family's 1533-position model. The record is from RNAcentral.